Molecule: non-coding RNA, 718 nt
Filed under: Fimbriaria fasciolaris
Lineage: Eukaryota; Metazoa; Platyhelminthes; Cestoda; Cyclophyllidea; Hymenolepididae
Source: RNAcentral
UGUUGUUUAACUAUGGCAAUAGAAAGUUAUUUUAACUUAGCUGCAUAAAUUUAUUUUAUUUUGUUAUAAAUUAGAAUUUAUUAUAUUUAUUAGCAGUUAAUUUUUUAGUAAAAUAGGUGUUUUUUAAGAAGUUAGAAUUGAAGGGGAUAGGACACAGUGCCAGCAUCCGCGGUUAAUCUGUUUUCUUUGCUUUCUGAUAGAAUUUUAUUGGGUAUUAAUUAUUAAAGUUAAGUGAAAUUUUUUUAAAUUUAUAUUUUUUACCCGGUUUUUAAUAAAUAUUUUUUAUGACAGGGAUUAGAUACCCCAUUAAUAUAGUAUUAUAAUUUUUCUUAGUUUUAUAACUAAAAUAGUUUGGCAGCGAGUGAAUCCAUUUAGGGGAAGGUGUGUUUUGAAGGACGAUCCGCCUAAUAAUUUACUUGAUUUAUGUUGGUGUAUAGCUGGUUUGAUAUUAUUGCUUAAUAGCUGAAUUUGUGUAUAAUAGUUAUUUAAGCCAAGUCUAUGUGCUGCUUAAUUAAGUUUUCAUGCGUUACAUUAAUAAUUUCAAAUUUGUAAGAUUUUGAUGAUUUAGGACUUAAUAGUAAUGUAAAAUUAAUAUGUUUAUGUGAAGAUGGUUUAACUCGGGUACACACCGCCCGUCACCCUCGAUAAUUGUUGAGGUAAGUCGUAACAAGGUAGCUUUAAAUGAAUUUGAAGCUAAUUACUAUUUAUAGUAGUAGAA